Molecule: long non-coding RNA, 241 nt
Filed under: Hordeum vulgare
Lineage: Eukaryota; Viridiplantae; Streptophyta; Magnoliopsida; Poales; Poaceae
Description: long non-coding RNA (HVUL_LNC010563)
Source: RNAcentral
UCAGAGGUGUAAUAAUUAUAAAUAAGGAUCUGAACAUAUUAUCUUCCAGCAAAUAAACCAACUAACAUCAACUACAAGAUGUAAUCAACACCACAAACAACCCACACAUACCAAUCUGAAGUUUUGAGACAAAGAUUGAAUACAAGACAUGAACUAGGGUUUGAGAUGAGAUGGUGUUGGUGUAUAUGUUGAUAAAGGUUGGUCCUCCCACGAAGGAGGAAGCGUUGGUGAUGACGAUGGC